Molecule: transfer RNA, 73 nt
Filed under: Clostridium sp.
Lineage: Bacteria; Bacillati; Bacillota; Clostridia; Eubacteriales; Clostridiaceae
Also listed under: 7 other names
Description: tRNA-Thr
Rfam family: tRNA
About the family: Transfer RNA (tRNA) molecules are approximately 80 nucleotides in length. Their secondary structure includes four short double-helical elements and three loops (D, anti-codon, and T loops).
Source: RNAcentral
GCUACUGUGGCUCAGUAGGUAGAGCGUCGCCUUGGUAAGGCGGAGGUCACGGGUUCAAGUCCCGUCAGUAGCU